UCUUCUCCUGAAUUGGACAUGACCUCUGAAAAGGAACAUUUCAUUCCAUUUGUCUUGCUUCGGUAGUUUACAACAAACCUUUGAACAGUGAGAAUCUUGUUUAUUUCUGGACACCUCUUUCUAUAAAAGGCUUUUCUCAGACUGGCACAAAGACUACUGAAAUCGGCCAUCCUGAAUCAUCUGGACAAAAUAUGAAAUUCAUUGGCAUAAUUGUUUCUUUCUUCAUUCUCUUCACCCUUACUGCUCUUCGGAAUGCAGGAGCUCAAGACUCUUGCUCACACCAGUGUGGGGAGCUGCUUAGUACCUGUUCUUGCGAGGUGACAUGCCAGUCCUUGGGGAACUGCUGCCCUGAUUAUAAAGAAUUUUGUCUUCAGAUUUCUCCAUACUCAGGAUCUCUGAUGGGAGGCAAAGACUUUUUGAUUGAAAAUACAGCUUUUAAUACCUCUUCUGUGCUAACAUGCAGGUUCAAGCAGGAAAUCAAAACCACUGGCUAUAUUGCUGAGGAUGGAAAAGGCCACUGCAUCUCCCCAUUGCUUUAUGAGACUGGUUUCAUCCCUUUUGAAGUUUCUGUAGAUGAUGGGAGGACGUUCCCCUACUCUGGAACUUGGCUAUCAGUACAUCACAGCAAGGUUUCAGAUGAAGAAAAAUGUACUUUGAUAAAUGAGACAAAAUGGCAAUACUACGGUACCCCCAACACUUAUGGAAACUUAACUCUUACCUGGACACAUCAGGCACUUGCAGAAACCCACGUCAACAUAGAAGUCUGGGGAUACCAUGAAACAGGUGACAGUUACUCAGAAAACUGGUUGGCUGAAUGGAAAUAUCUUUAUACUUUGGCCAGAGAAAUUCCCAAUACAGGGAAAUUUACUUUCACUCCUGCACCUGCUGAAGGAAAUUACAGUACCUGGGACUUCGGAAUUUUGAGGAUUACACCCAGCAGCUAUUCUGAUGGGCAGAGCAACAUUCCAUCACUCUGGAGCAAUGAGCAUGCAUUGGCUUGGCACCUCGGGGAAGAUUUCAGGAAUGACCCAAAUGCAUGGGCAACUGCAAAAUGUAUGGAAUGGGACAGAAAGGAAGAAAAGCUUCCAAACUUCAAGGAAGAAAUUAUAGACUGCCCUUGCACUUUGGCACAGGCAAGAGCUGACACUGGCAGGUUCCAUACGGAUUAUGGCUGUGACAUUGAGAAGGGGAGUGUGUGUACUUAUCACCCUGGGGCUGUGCACUGUGUGAGAGCCAUUCAAGCCAGUCCCCAGUAUGCAGCAGGACAGCAGUGUUGCUAUGACUCCACGGGAACACAGAUCCUCACACACGACUCCACGGGAGGCAGCACACCCGAUCGAGGCCAUGACUGGGGUUCACCACCUUUCCUGAAGCCUCCCCGGAUACCUGGCUUUUCCCAUUGGCUUUAUGAUGUUAUCAGCUUCUAUUACUGCUGCCUGUGGUCUGAUAAUUGUCAGUUCUAUAUGAAAAGGCGUCCCUCUAGUGACUGCAGGACGUAUCGCCCACCUCGAGCUGCAUCUGCUUUUGGGGAUCCUCAUUUCUUCACAUUUGAUGGUCUGAACUUCACCUUCAAUGGCCUGGGAGAAUACCUGUUGGUAGAGUCUGAUCUCACAUCCCUGAGAGUGCAAGGGAGGACACAGCAGGGACGCCUUCCCAGUGGAAGUGGAGCUCAGGGGACAGGCUUGUCUGCAGUGGCCAUGCAGGAGAACAACUCUGAUGUGAUUGAAGUACGGUACUCACAGGAUUUGAAUCUGGAGGUCCUGUUAAACCAAAAGGUUCUCAACUUCUCUGAACAAACCUGGAUGGACCUGAAAGGUCUCUUUCUAUAUUCUACACCUGAUCAGAACAUCACAGUGAUGUUCUCUUCUGGGUCUGGAGUGGAAAUACAGGGAAAUGGAGGAUUUCUGACCCUGACAGUUCUGCUCCCAGAGAAGUUCAUGAAUCACACACAGGGUCUCUUUGGGGUAAUGAAUGGCAAUACGGAGGAUGAAUACACCUUCAGGAAUAAAACCACCCUACCAGUUCAUGCAAGUCCCCAGCAGUUGUUUGAGUUUGGAGCUAACUGGGCUAUUGAGAAUGGAACUUCUCUCUUUACUUAUGACACAGAGUUCUUACUGAACAAUUUCUUUUAUGGGGAGAAGCACAAUGCUUCCUUCCUGCCUGUGUUCUUCCCUUAUGAAGACCCUGCUGAUCCCCUGGUAGAAGAGAUGGUCUCACUCUGUGGCUCUGACCCGUUCUGCAGAUUCGAUGUCCUGACAACAAGAAACCUUCAACUGGGAAAUUCCACAAGACUGUCUCAUCAGAAUCACAAGCUGCGGGUAGAACAUCUGGAGCCAGUGAUCUCUUGUGGCUGGCUGGACCAUCCAAUCAAUGGAACAAAGAAUGGAACUAACUACCUGCUGGGCUCAACCAUCACUUUCAUCUGCAGUCAGGGCUAUGAACUCACCGGGUCAAAGGAAAGAACUUGCCAAGCGUCGGGGGCCUGGUCUGGAGACACACCCAGUUGCAUCCAGAAAAUAGCUAUUGAACAACUAAUUCUUCUUGGCUGUGUAUUUGGAAUAGUCGGUGUUGCAGUCCUGGCACGUCUGACUUGUUUAUGUAGAAAGGAGAGACACAAAGGAAACCAGAAACUUGUUUCAGAAGUUCCAGUAGAAUAAGAGACAAUGAAAUUCCAGCGGAGUUUGUAAUGAAAUACAGAAAAAGCAAAGGCUUAAAUCAUCCACAGCAACAAAUAUCGACUUUCCAAACACAAACAAUGGUAUUUAGUAUGAUAUGAUUUGAUUUCUGCUAUCAAUAUAACGAGUAUUGAAUUGUAUGGGAAAUGCUAAUCAAAUUCUUGACGUUACAUCAUGGCAGGCUGAGCAAAAGACAAUGUUUCUGAAAGCAUCAAUCUUAGAAAUAU
RNA transcript from Neopelma chrysocephalum (saffron-crested tyrant-manakin), 2902 nucleotides. It is a transcript of the gene named sushi domain containing 2, with no coding region annotated. Lineage: Eukaryota; Metazoa; Chordata; Aves; Passeriformes; Pipridae. The transcript has 16 exons. The record is from RefSeq and is a predicted model, not a curated record.